This 2928-nucleotide ribosomal RNA is filed under the name Klebsiella grimontii. Its description in RNAcentral is "23S ribosomal RNA". It matches the Rfam family "Bacterial large subunit ribosomal RNA". Lineage: Bacteria; Pseudomonadati; Pseudomonadota; Gammaproteobacteria; Enterobacterales; Enterobacteriaceae. The record is from RNAcentral.
GGGUUGUGAGGUUAAGCGACUAAGCGUACACGGUGGAUGCCCUGGCAGUCAGAGGCGAUGAAGGACGUGCUAAUCUGCGAAAAGCGUCGGUAAGGUGAUAUGAACCGUUAUAGCCGGCGAUGUCCGAAUGGGGAAACCCAGUGCAAUUCGUUGCACUAUCGUUUGAUGAAUACAUAGUCAAACGAGGCGAACCGGGGGAACUGAAACAUCUAAGUACCCCGAGGAAAAGAAAUCAACCGAGAUUCCCCCAGUAGCGGCGAGCGAACGGGGAGCAGCCCGGAGUCUGAAUCAGCUUGUGUGUUAGUGGAAGCGUCUGGAAAGUCGCAGGGUACAGGGUGAUACUCCCGUACACUAAAGCACACAGGUUGUGAACUCGAAGAGUAGGGCGGGACACGUGGUAUCCUGUCUGAAUAUGGGGGGACCAUCCUCCAAGGCUAAAUACUCCUGACUGACCGAUAGUGAACCAGUACCGUGAGGGAAAGGCGAAAAGAACCCCGGCGAGGGGAGUGAAAAAGAACCUGAAACCGUGUACGUACAAGCAGUAGGAGCCUCUUUAUGGGGUGACUGCGUACCUUUUGUAUAAUGGGUCAGCGACUUAUAUUCUGUAGCAAGGUUAACCGUAUAGGGGAGCCGCAGGGAAACCGAGUCUUAACUGGGCGUUAAGUUGCAGGGUAUAGACCCGAAACCCGGUGAUCUAGCCAUGGGCAGGUUGAAGGUUGGGUAACACUAACUGGAGGACCGAACCGACUAAUGUUGAAAAAUUAGCGGAUGACUUGUGGCUGGGGGUGAAAGGCCAAUCAAACCGGGAGAUAGCUGGUUCUCCCCGAAAGCUAUUUAGGUAGCGCCUCGUGAACUCAUCUUCGGGGGUAGAGCACUGUUUCGGCUAGGGGGUCAUCCCGACUUACCAACCCGAUGCAAACUACGAAUACCGAAGAAUGUUAUCACGGGAGACACACGGCGGGUGCUAACGUCCGUCGUGAAGAGGGAAACAACCCAGACCGCCAGCUAAGGUCCCAAAGUCAUGGUUAAGUGGGAAACGAUGUGGGAAGGCCCAGACAGCCAGGAUGUUGGCUUAGAAGCAGCCAUCAUUUAAAGAAAGCGUAAUAGCUCACUGGUCGAGUCGGCCUGCGCGGAAGAUGUAACGGGGCUAAACCAUGCACCGAAGCUGCGGCAGCGACACUAUGUGUUGUUGGGUAGGGGAGCGUUCUGUAAGCCGUUGAAGGUGGCCUGUGAGGGUUGCUGGAGGUAUCAGAAGUGCGAAUGCUGACAUAAGUAACGAUAAUGCGGGUGAAAAACCCGCACGCCGGAAGACCAAGGGUUCCUGUCCAACGUUAAUCGGGGCAGGGUGAGUCGACCCCUAAGGCGAGGCCGAAAGGCGUAGUCGAUGGGAAACAGGUUAAUAUUCCUGUACUCGGUGUUACUGCGAAGGGGGGACGGAGAAGGCUAUGUUGGCCGGGCGACGGUUGUCCCGGUUUAAGCAUGUAGGCGGAUGUUCCAGGUAAAUCCGGAACGUUACUAACGCUGAGGUGUGAUGACGAGGCACUACGGUGCUGAAGUGACAAAUGCCCUGCUUCCAGGAAAAGCCUCUAAGCAUCAGGUAACAUCAAAUCGUACCCCAAACCGACACAGGUGGUCAGGUAGAGAAUACCAAGGCGCUUGAGAGAACUCGGGUGAAGGAACUAGGCAAAAUGGUGCCGUAACUUCGGGAGAAGGCACGCUGAUAUGUAGGUGAAGUGGUUUACCCAUGGAGCUGAAAUCAGUCGAAGAUACCAGCUGGCUGCAACUGUUUAUUAAAAACACAGCACUGUGCAAACACGAAAGUGGACGUAUACGGUGUGACGCCUGCCCGGUGCCGGAAGGUUAAUUGAUGGGGUUAUCCGUAAGGAGAAGCUCUUGAUCGAAGCCCCGGUAAACGGCGGCCGUAACUAUAACGGUCCUAAGGUAGCGAAAUUCCUUGUCGGGUAAGUUCCGACCUGCACGAAUGGCGUAAUGAUGGCCAGGCUGUCUCCACCCGAGACUCAGUGAAAUUGAACUCGCUGUGAAGAUGCAGUGUACCCGCGGCAAGACGGAAAGACCCCGUGAACCUUUACUAUAGCUUGACACUGAACACUGGUCCUUGAUGUGUAGGAUAGGUGGGAGGCUUUGAAGUGUGGACGCCAGUCUGCAUGGAGCCAUCCUUGAAAUACCACCCUUUAAUGGCUGGUGUUCUAACGUGGGCCCGUUAUCCGGGUUGCGGACAGUGUCUGGUGGGUAGUUUGACUGGGGCGGUCUCCUCCUAAAGAGUAACGGAGGAGCACGAAGGUCAGCUAAUCCUGGUCGGACAUCAGGAGGUUAGUGCAAUGGCAUAAGCUGGCUUGACUGCGAGCGUGACGGCGCGAGCAGGUGCGAAAGCAGGUCAUAGUGAUCCGGUGGUUCUGAAUGGAAGGGCCAUCGCUCAACGGAUAAAAGGUACUCCGGGGAUAACAGGCUGAUACCGCCCAAGAGUUCAUAUCGACGGCGGUGUUUGGCACCUCGAUGUCGGCUCAUCACAUCCUGGGGCUGAAGUAGGUCCCAAGGGUAUGGCUGUUCGCCAUUUAAAGUGGUACGCGAGCUGGGUUUAGAACGUCGUGAGACAGUUCGGUCCCUAUCUGCCGUGGGCGCUGGAGAAUUGAGGGGGGCUGCUCCUAGUACGAGAGGACCGGAGUGGACGCAUCACUGGUGUUCGGGUUGUCAUGCCAAUGGCAUUGCCCGGUAGCUAAAUGCGGAAGAGAUAAGUGCUGAAAGCAUCUAAGCACGAAACUUGCCCCGAGAUGAGUUCUCCCUGACUCCUUGAGAGUCCUGAAGGAACGUUGAAGACGACGACGUUGAUAGGCCGGGUGUGUAAGCGCAGCGAUGCGUUGAGCUAACCGGUACUAAUGAACCGUGAGGCUUAACCUUACAACGCCGAAG